This 650-nucleotide ribosomal RNA is filed under the name Bacillus sp. YIM KMY30. RNAcentral's name for it is "bacterial SSU rRNA". It matches the Rfam family "Bacterial small subunit ribosomal RNA", at positions 28 to 659 of the family's 1533-position model. The record is from RNAcentral. Lineage: Bacteria; Bacillati; Bacillota; Bacilli; Caryophanales; Bacillaceae.
GACGAACGCUGGCGGCGUGCCUAAUACAUGCAAGUCGAGCGAAUCUGAUAAAAGCUUGCUUUUUGAAGAUUAGCGGCGGACGGGUGAGUAACACGUGGGCAACCUGCCUGUAAGACUGGGAUAACUUCGGGAAACCGGAGCUAAUACCGGAUAAUAUAAAGAACCUCCUGGUUCUUUAUUGAAAGAUGGUUUCGGCUAUCACUUACAGAUGGGCCCGCGGCGCAUUAGCUAGUUGGUGAGGUAAUGGCUCACCAAGGCGACGAUGCGUAGCCGACCUGAGAGGGUGAUCGGCCACACUGGGACUGAGACACGGCCCAGACUCCUACGGGAGGCAGCAGUAGGGAAUCUUCCACAAUGGACGAAAGUCUGAUGGAGCAACGCCGCGUGAGCGAUGAAGGCCUUCGGGUCGUAAAGCUCUGUUGUUAGGGAAGAACAAGUACCGGAGUAACUGCCGGUACCUUGACGGUACCUAACCAGAAAGCCACGGCUAACUACGUGCCAGCAGCCGCGGUAAUACGUAGGUGGCAAGCGUUGUCCGGAAUUAUUGGGCGUAAAGCGCGCGCAGGCGGUUUCUUAAGUCUGAUGUGAAAGCCCACGGCUCAACCGUGGAGGGUCAUUGGAAACUGGGAAACUUGAGUGCAGAAGAGGAA